GGGUUGUGAGGUUAAGCGACCAAGCGUACACGGUGGAUGCCCUGGCAGUCAGAGGCGAUGAAGGACGUGCUAAUCUGCGAAAAGCGCCGGUAAGGUGAUAUGAACCGUUAUAACCGGCGAUGUCCGAAUGGGGAAACCCAGUGUGACUCGUCACACUAUCAUUAACUGAAUCCAUAGGUUAAUGAGGCGAACCGGGGGAACUGAAACAUCUAAGUACCCCGAGGAAAAGAAAUCAACCGAGAUUCCCCCAGUAGCGGCGAGCGAACGGGGAGGAGCCCAGAGCCUGAAUCAGCAUGUGUGUUAGUGGAAGCGUCUGGAAAGGCGCGCGAUACAGGGUGAGAGCCCCGUACACAAAAGCGCACAUGCUGUGAGCUCGAUGAGUAGGGCGGGACACGUGGUAUCCUGUCUGAAUAUGGGGGGACCAUCCUCCAAGGCUAAAUACUCCUGACUGACCGAUAGUGAACCAGUACCGUGAGGGAAAGGCGAAAAGAACCCCGGCGAGGGGAGUGAAACAGAACCUGAAACCGUGUACGUACAAGCAGUGGGAGCCUCUCUUUAUGGGGGGUGACUGCGUACCUUUUGUAUAAUGGGUCAGCGACUUAUAUUCUGUAGCAAGGUUAACCGCAUAGGGGAGCCGAAGGGAAACCGAGUCUUAAUUGGGCGUUAAGUUGCAGGGUAUAGACCCGAAACCCGGUGAUCUAGCCAUGGGCAGGUUGAAGGUUGGGUAACACUAACUGGAGGACCGAACCGACUAAUGUUGAAAAAUUAGCGGAUGACCUGUGGCUGGGGGUGAAAGGCCAAUCAAACCGGGAGAUAGCUGGUUCUCCCCGAAAGCUAUUUAGGUAGCGCCUCGUGAAUUCAUCUCCGGGGGUAGAGCACUGUUUCGGCUAGGGGGCCAUCCCGGCUUACCAACCCGAUGCAAACUGCGAAUACCGGAGAAUGUUAUCACGGGAGACACACGGCGGGUGCUAACGUCCGUCGUGAA
This 985-nucleotide ribosomal RNA is filed under the name Salmonella enterica subsp. enterica. RNAcentral describes it as "bacterial LSU rRNA". It matches the Rfam family "Bacterial large subunit ribosomal RNA", at positions 1 to 1014 of the family's 2925-position model. Lineage: Bacteria; Pseudomonadati; Pseudomonadota; Gammaproteobacteria; Enterobacterales; Enterobacteriaceae. The record is from RNAcentral.